CGAAUAUCGCCAGUCUUACUUGUAGAGCGUGAAGUGGCUCGAUUCUAUUCGUCAGAUGCGGAGAAGAAUCAACCCUAACCGAAAAACAGGCAAGGAAGAAAGGAGAAAUUUUGGCAUAACUACUAUUAACGGAUCUUGCCGUUGAAGCACAUGGGCUUGAUUAUUCAGGGUUGAAUCCCGAUUUGACUGGACCGGUCUAAACCCAACCGAUCCGGUUCCCAGCUUAAGGUUAGGGAAGUUAUAAAUCCACUAGAAGCGUUUGAACAACUUGGAACACUGGUUUCAGAACUUUUGAGUUAAGAAAAUGGUAACGGCCUGCCAACUUAAUGCGAGACAACAUGCAAAAGAGGUGAGAAUGCUGUCUCUCUGCAGAAAUUUAGUCAACUGUUUCGGUUGCCGACUUAAAUCGUCCCUCAAUCACGCCACCACUCCCAAACGGAUUCCUUCCUUCCUUCCUGGGGGGCAUGACAAUAACCAGUUACUUGCGAGCAAGAAAUGAACGUGUGGGGAAAAAUCAAUGGUUUCUUGAACUGGAAUUUCCAACCUUUUUGUUAAUUUGGAUUCUGGGUUGAAAGUAAUAACCGAGAAAGCCAAUUAAUUUCCCCUCAGUCAUGAGUCUAAUCUGACUAUAAGGUCUUUGCUUUGGUGCUCUGUUUUCCAACACAAACGGAAACAGAGUCAAACAUGGCUGUUGGCGGGUGGGUGGGUGGGUGAAACUGGGAAGAUAGAAUGAACGGAAACAGGUACGUACAAAUAAAUAUCCAAUCUUUCCCCACCGUCGUAUUCGUACGUUAAAGGAAGAAGAAAUCAAGGAAUAUAUCUGCUGGAGAAAAGUAGGUCAAAAGUGUUCAUAGGAGGCGCUCCCCUGCCGGCCCCCACACCCACCCCACUCGCCGUCAGUUCUUCACACAAACAAACCAGUACCAGAUUCCUCCCCUUUCCGUCAUCUUCAAUUCUUUAUAUUUUCCUCUGAUUGACGAGACUGCAUUAAAUCAAUGGGAAAAGCUCACACACAAACAAGAUAUUUAGAGAUUGAUUAGGCUCAAAACAGGGGCGAAAAUAUAUCAUAUUAAUUAAUCAAGCUGCUAGUUUUCCGGUUGGAAAGUGGUCCGGUCGCUCACUUAUCAGCUCGCCUACCAAGUACAAAAGAUUCUGUUUUAAAUCUGUAAAAAUCUGACCUACAUCUGAAGCAGCGAAGCAGCAUCAGUUCCCUUCCUUUCCACGUUAUCAGAACACAACUAGGAAUGUAGACGACGCAGACGUGUCAUUGUUGAACAGGUGGAUGAGUUCGGACGGAGCCACGUUUCCGUGACAACACGUGGCAGCACAUUGAUCUAGUGCGCCAAGCAUCUAAUUUGGCUUUACGUUCGGUUUAGUUGUGUGUAUCAACAAUUGGCAUGGACUUGGAAUAUACUUACUUAGCUAGAUGAGAAUACAACGUAACUUAAUAGUCUGUUCCUGGUUUCUGCUGUAACUUUAUCAGAUGUAGAAAGAAACCAGAUAUGAGGUGAAGUUGAGGUUUUGGAUGAGAUAAAGAUGGAGCUAGCUAGCAUCAGAGUUGGGUUAUAGCUAGCUAGCGGAAUGAGAAACGCAGGGGGGGUUGAAAAGGACAGAUGUUGAUC
Molecule: long non-coding RNA, 1622 nt
Filed under: Linum usitatissimum (flax)
Lineage: Eukaryota; Viridiplantae; Streptophyta; Magnoliopsida; Malpighiales; Linaceae
Description: long non-coding RNA (LUSI_LNC005771)
Source: RNAcentral